RNAcentral lists this ribosomal RNA (253 nucleotides) under uncultured bacterium. RNAcentral's name for it is "partial 16S ribosomal RNA". It matches the Rfam family "Bacterial small subunit ribosomal RNA", at positions 524 to 776 of the family's 1533-position model. The record is from RNAcentral.
UACAGAGGCCUCGAGCGUUAGGCGGAAUCACUGGGCUUAAAGCGUGUGUAGGCGGACUUCUAAGUACCUUGUGAAAUCCCACGGCUCACCCGUGGAACUGCUCGGUAUACUGGUCGUCUUGAGCCUUCUAGGGGCGAGUGGAACAAAUGGUGGAGCGGUGAAAUGCGCAGAUAUCAGGAAGAACACCCGUGGCUAAGGCGGCUCUCUAGUACGGUACUGACGCUGAGGCACGAAGGCCAGGGGAGCAAACGGG